Long non-coding RNA from Hippocampus zosterae (dwarf seahorse), 444 nucleotides. RefSeq lists it as uncharacterized. The transcript has 2 exons. Lineage: Eukaryota; Metazoa; Chordata; Actinopteri; Syngnathiformes; Syngnathidae. The record is from RefSeq and is a predicted model, not a curated record.
CCAUUAACCUGCCACGCAUGUUUUUGGAAUGUGGGAGGAAGCUGGAGUACCGGGAGAACAUGCAAACUCCCCACAGGAAGGCCAGAGCUGGAAUUGAACCUGGUACCUCGCGCUACCUUACCUCUCUGAACUCAUCCGCCCCUACACACCUGCCCGGCGCCUCAGGUCUGCGGACCAGACAUGAUUGGAGCUGCUGUCAGGCCAAACCACCUAACAUCUGGGGCCAAAGACGAGGAAAUCGAUGGCUUCAUCUGGCUCCCGAUCGGGAUGGUGACAGGAAGGAGAGGAUGAAAAGAAAAAGACAUGGAGAGCACAACAAUUUGAUGGAUGGAAAAUGGUUCAAGAGCAAGCUGCAUCCCAGUUUGGACUCUUGUUAAAUAACGAAAAGUGCAGUUUAUGUGCAGGUUCACAAAUAAUGAAAAUAAGCAUCUUUUUAUAACAGUC